Molecule: ribosomal RNA, 245 nt
Filed under: uncultured archaeon
Lineage: Archaea
Description: partial 16S ribosomal RNA
Rfam family: Archaeal small subunit ribosomal RNA
Source: RNAcentral
CACCAGCGCCACGAGUGGGAAUCGUAUAUUUGGUCUAAAGCGUCCGUAGCUGGUCGUGUAAAUCUUUUGUGAAAUCGUUAUGGCUUAACCUAACGAAGCGCAGAAGACACUGCAUGACUUGGGACCAGGAGGGGUUAGAAGUAUUCUUUGGGGAGCGGUAAAAUGUUAUAAUCCAAAGAAGACUACCUGUGGCGAAGGCGUCUAACCAGAAUGGAUCCGACAGUGAGGGACGAAAGCAAGGGGAG